GAAAGACCUCUUUCAGCAAGUACAAAAUAAAAAAGUCUCAGGUGAGAGCAGAGUUUGGGAAGGGGUGAUGGAUGUGGAGUUCCAGAGAAUGCCGAGGAAUGGAAUUAGCGAGGAGAGGAAGGAGUGACUGGAGGUACAACUGGGAAUUAUAAAUUGGGUCCUCCUCGAUGCCGGUCAAGAGAUUUGACUCCAGGAUGUAAUUAGUCUUCAAUUAUUUAUUCCCUGUUUUCAUCAGUGUUUCUUCCCCCGUGACCCAGCUCCAGGUCAGAACCAGGGGGUCGAGGAUUCUACAGGGUCGCCCUGGGCAAGUGGCUUUUAUUUCAUAUGGAUUAAUUUAUAUCAGCCUCUUUGCAAAAAAAAAAAAAAAAGGACCUGAGGUGAAGCAAGCAUGUUUAAUCUCUCUGAGUCUCAUUUUCUUCAUCUGACAAAUUGGGCUCCUGAGGCCAAGGGUCCAGGCGUCCAGGCGACCAGGUGUGAGCUGCGAAGAUGAGAUGAGAACGCGGGCGAAGCGCCAGCACGGCGCCUGGGACCGAGCGCAGCUCCCGCGCUGCGGUUCCCUCCCCAUAAACACUUAGUGGAAACGUCGUCCAGGGGAAGAAGCGCCUGAGAGCGCAGGCCCUCCCCAGCGCAGGCUGUUACUGCUGGCUUUCUUGUUCCUUGAAAGUGCUUUCAGACAUGAAGUUGACAAAGGAAAUUAACAACAGCGUGUUCAAGAAGCUGCAGCGCCAGGUCCUUGCUGACGCUGCCCCAGUGGGCCCUGCACAGCCAGCCUGUCACGCUAAUAGGUGCCCGGCCCCCAGAACAGAGACAUCAUCUAAUAAAAUGUGAAGCAGAUUCUGCACAGCCCUUACCCAGAAGGAUUGCAGGGCACAGGAAGAAGCACACCUCUUGGCUUGUUAAGCUGCCGUCAGUCAGCCAGAGGGCCCUGCGCUGGGCUGAGGUUGAGAGUUCCGCGCAAGAUUCGGGCCCUGCCAAGUCACGUGUCCACCUCCCACCACACCCCCAGGGUCCUGGGCCUCCAAGGGGCCCAGAAGUGCUGGCUCCAGCUCCCCCGGAGAGGCUUCAGAGAGCAUUACCAGGAUCGUUCCAAUGAGACGAAAGACACGAGGCUGAAAAGAAAAGGCACCUCACACAGAAACUUCCCUCGGCUCCUAAGAUCCUUCCGCAAAAGGCUGCAUGUGCAGGUGGGACUUCUCCUCCUUCGUUGCUGGAUGGAAAUGAGCGCUGCGCGGCUCAGUGAUGCAAUUCAGCCACGGCUGCAGGCCAGGCCUGACUGUGGGACCGCGGCCCAGUCCUCACCCUCAGUGCCUCAGAUCUGGAAAGACACCCCCCGCACCCCCCUCUAAGGCCAGCCUUGAAGAUCAACAGGACAGGUGUUCUAAAAGCCCCCAUCUCUUCUGAGCCACAUCUGCAAAGAGGAAUGAAAACAGCUGGAGUUACAGACGGUCCUCAGCCAGUCGUGGGGAAGCAGCAUGGGAGUGGGAGCAUGGCCCUCAGAGCCUGAUCUCUGUGGCUGGACCUUCAGGGAAGGGAACAGGGAACGUGGGCACCAGCAGUGCUGGGGGUGAACUCCCGGCCCCUGCUGAGUGGGCUUUGUUCUCUCCAGGGGGUGCUGAGCAAGUCAGAGAUCCCCCUUUUCACUCCCUCCCUCGGCAAAGCAGAUGUCCUGGGCCCUCCCCCCCACAACUGGUUCAAAGCCAGGUAGGCCUGGUGUAGGGCAACCUACAGGACCCUCGUGACAGUCACUGGCCUUGAGGCAAAGAAGAGUAAAGAAAAAAGAACAACGAUCCUACCACCUGCUAACGACUAGAAAUGAGCGCACUAAGAACGGGGUGAGAACCUAAAGCCUAUGGAAAGACACAAAGGAAGGCUGGGACCAACGGAGGAUUGUGCCAUGUUUUUGGAUGGGAAGACUCAUAAUAAUAAGAUAUCAAUUCUCCAAAAUUUAAUCUAUAAAUUUGACGCAAUCCAUUAAAAAUACCAAAAAUUACUAAUCUUCUUUUUUACCAAACAAGCUGAUAAUAAUGUUUAUAUGAAAAAAAAUGAACAAGAAGAUCUAGGAAAAUGCUGAAAAAGAAAAGCAAAGAUGGGAGACUAGGCUUAUCAGAUAUUAAAACUUUAAUAAUUAUUGUCAAUUUUACUAUUGUAUUAUAAAUUAUAUAAAUAAAGUGCUAAUUUACUGUAAAAUAUUAUAAUAUUAUUGUAAAACUUUAAUAAUUAAAACAACUUGAACAGACAGACCAGUGGAACAGGGAAGAAAUUUUUAAAUGGGCCCCAAAACAUGGGAAUUUUGUAUAUAACGAAAGAGACCCUCAAAUGGAUGGGAGAGAAGAUGAAUUAUUCAAUAAAUGGAGGUGGGAAAACUAGGUUCCACCCGGAAUUGGAGUCAUGCCUCACACCCCACAGCAGCACGGAUCAUGAUAACUUCCAAAUAAAUGAAAUAGUUAAAUGUUUAAAUAAAAGAAAGUAAAAGAGAAGGAACCAUAAAAUUACAUGUCCUGGGCCC
Molecule: long non-coding RNA, 2506 nt
Filed under: Equus caballus (horse)
Lineage: Eukaryota; Metazoa; Chordata; Mammalia; Perissodactyla; Equidae
Description: lncRNA (ENSECAG00000051935.1)
Source: RNAcentral